This 87-nucleotide transfer RNA is filed under the name Opitutaceae bacterium. Its description in RNAcentral is "tRNA-Leu". It matches the Rfam family "tRNA". From Rfam's summary of the family: Transfer RNA (tRNA) molecules are approximately 80 nucleotides in length. Their secondary structure includes four short double-helical elements and three loops (D, anti-codon, and T loops). The record is from RNAcentral. Lineage: Bacteria; Pseudomonadati; Verrucomicrobiota; Opitutia; Opitutales; Opitutaceae. RNAcentral also lists the same sequence under 1 other name.
GCCCGGAUGGCGGAAUUGGCAGACGCGCUGGACUCAAAAUCCUGUUCCCGCAAGGGAGUGUGGGUUCGACCCCCACUCUGGGCACCA